RNAcentral lists this ribosomal RNA (500 nucleotides) under uncultured bacterium. RNAcentral describes it as "partial 16S ribosomal RNA". It matches the Rfam family "Bacterial small subunit ribosomal RNA", at positions 30 to 523 of the family's 1533-position model. The record is from RNAcentral.
CUUGAACGCUGGCGGCAGGCCUAACACAUGCAAGUCGAGCGGUAGAGAGAAGCUUGCUUCUCUUGAGAGCGGCGGACGGGUGAGUAAUGCCUAGGAAUCUGCCUGGUAGUGGGGGAUAACGUUCGGAAACGGACGCUAAUACCGCAUACGUCCUACGGGAGAAAGCAGGGGACCUUCGGGCCUUGCGCUAUCAGAUGAGCCUAGGUCGGAUUAGCUAGUUGGUGAGGUAAUGGCUCACCAAGGCGACGAUCCGUAACUGGUCUGAGCGGAUGAUCAGGCAAAGUGGAACAGGAACAAGGUCCAGCCUCCUAGGGGAGGCAGCAGUGGGGAAGAUUGGAGAAUGGGCGAAAGCCUGAGCCAGCCAUGCCGCGUGGGUGGAGAAGGUCUUCGGAUUGUAAAGCACUUUAAGUUGGGAGGAAGGGUUGUAGAUCAAUACUCUGCAAUUUUGACGUUACCGACAGAAUAAGCACCGGCUAACUCUGUGCCAGCCGCCGCGGUAA